Molecule: non-coding RNA, 2732 nt
Organism: Phoenix dactylifera (date palm)
Lineage: Eukaryota; Viridiplantae; Streptophyta; Magnoliopsida; Arecales; Arecaceae
Source: RefSeq, a predicted model, not a curated record
UCCUCCUUGUCGUUCCCCUUUUCGAUCCUUUUGCUGCAAAGGUUUUAGUGGUUGUGGUUUGCUUUUUCGUCUAAAAGCUAAAAAUUUCGUUGGUAAUUGGGGAUUCCAUGAGUUACUUUUUGGUACUUUACUGGUAACUUGCAUGCGUACAAGAUCAGAUAUUUUGUUAGAUGAGAUAAGAGUAUAUAAAUGAUUAAUUUGAGGUAAAUGGACAUGUCAUAUAGAAAAUGAUACAAAUCGUUGAAUCCUUGAAUCCGUGCUAAUCUAGUGGUGUUUGUUUGCUUGGUCUUCACUGUCACUUGACCGAUCUAUCCGCUCUAGUGGAUGCGGUUACCACCCUGACCCUGUAUUUCAAUGGAUUGCCAUGGUGCUGACGGGCGCGUCACCAACUUCCAUUGCUUAUUGCUUAAUUGCUUAUCAUAGUGUGUCCAUUCAAAUUCUUAGUUUUUCAUCAUAGGCUCAAACAUCUUAAGAUGUUCUUAGCACCUGAUGUUUCUGUCCAUUCCUACCUUGGUAUGCCAAAAUAAGCAAGGAAGGUCUUGCAACUACGACAUUAGACAUCCAUUUGAUGGCUUCAUAGAGAUUAUGAUUGGUCAACCAAGCUUCUCGAACUUCAAAAUGUGAUAUAAGUGCCAGUGAAUAAACUGAUUUACAAAGUACAAGCAAGGAAUAUUGAAAUAUCGUUGCCUUUCAGUUGUCAUUUAUUUGGACUGUUAGUUUCUUGCACUCUAGCCCGUACUUGAAGCAGGUUGGGUGUAGGUAUGGGGAAGCAGGUUUCUUUAAAAAAUUUAGUAAGAAAACACUUCGUAAGCAGGUGAGGGGACAAGUUUUCGAGGAGAUAUCGAUAUAGGUUCACCACACUAAAUGGAAGAUUCCUCCUACUAAGCUCUACCACCAUUUAAUCGAAUUCAUCAGUCUUCCACCCAACUUGAACUGCAAAGACAAUUCUACCCUGUAAUGCACUUUUCGAUUACAUCACAUUAAAAGAUCUUCAAUCACCAAAAUCUCAAUUGGUUCGUGUCUUAGUUCCCUCUUAUGUACUUAUGCAUAGAGCCAUUUUUUCUACCUUUAGAACAUUUACUUUUGUGCUCUAGAAUCAUAGAACUCCUAGAAUCAUGGUGCUUAGCCCGGCAAGCCCAUGAAGGAAAUUGGUAGCUUGGUGGCAUUAUUUAUUCUGGGAUAUUUUGUUAUUCGGUAUACAAAUUUUAACAUAAUUUUGGAGGAAUUGCACAAGACUUUAUGUUAACUUUUAUUUUCACGUUGCUAUGGCUUAUGAUGAAGAAAGCUUGUCGGGCUUGACAUGGUUGAUGCCAGUUCUUCAAGAGGUUUCCAUGUUUCCUUGUUUGGGAAUUUAACAACAAUUGCUCAAAUUCUCUUUUCAUAUUGAGACACCAUCUUAAGUUAUUCUUAGAUUUCAUGGAUUAUUAAAGAGUGAACCCAUUUUGAUGGGGUAAGUCUUGUUUGUUAUGCAUAAGAUUAUCCGUUUUGGUGAUUGCUCAGAGUCUUAUGUAUUCAGUUGUGUGAUGUUAAUUAUUCUGCAUGAAAUCCAUUUCAAACUCUCUUUAAAAUUCUCAAUAGGACAUAGAAUCAGAAAAAUCUAGUACGAGUGAGCACAAUAUUAUCAUUUGACAAUGUAACAAUGUAUACUAAGUUAGUAUUUAAAGCAGGUUCAUGCAGUACAACUUAUAGCGUAAAGGAAACAAAUUAUUGAUAUGUAUAGAGGGUACUGGUUUGAGAUUGAAUGUAUGCUAAUCUGAUGGUUGGUCCAUACUUGAUAUAAGGAAAAUCAUAAACUUCUUGGUUGCUGUCCUAUGGGCAUAACUUUUGAAGUUGAUAGAUGGUUCUUUGUAGUUCGAGUGUGGUGAAUACAUCUUCUACAUGAUGGAUUUCAUGGUAGAGAUCUGUACUUCGUAGGCCCCAUAAAUGAAAAUGGAGCCAGUUUCAACUUCCCUAAACAGCUAAUGUUGGAGUAGACUUCUAAACUGUGUAUGGCAAAUUGUAAUGGUUUGAUUCUCAGUUGCUAGAAUUGGGAGCAGGUACAGAUGCAGGAACGGGAUAGGGGGUAUUUUUGAAAUACUUGAAGCAAUGAAAUGCUCAAGAAGAAGGUGCAGAUUCGAGUUUUACUCGAGUUUCUGAAGCAGAUACAUUAACUGCAGUAGAAGUUCCAUUCUAUUAAGAUUGGAUGCUGAAGGUCAUUGGAGAUAAACCUCAGAUGAAAGAGGUGAUUUCCAGGGAUAGUUGCUGAUGAGGUCUAAUACAAACAUGGUUGAUGAAGAGGGUGAUAGGGAAUGGAGAACUAUAUAGCCUGUUAUCUUAUGACUCGUCAUUCAUUUUGUAUCCCUGCAAUCAAUAAACAAGCAUCAUAAUGAUUUAAAGAGCAUCUUCAGCAUGUAGGAUUAGACUACCAAAUGCUGUAUGCUUAGGUUUAAGGAUAGAAGGAUCAAGGAUGAGAUAUAUGUGAUGUCCUAUUGAUAGCUUAUGGAUGGGGAUCAGGAUUACACUACUUGAAACUUUUGUAAAGAUUUUAAGGAUAGUAAGCAGCACUAAUCGAGAUAAGAUGAUCUUUUGAUGAAGGCAUUGAUGGGGCCAAAGGGCCAUGACAAAAAAAUUCUUGAGAACAGUGGAAUAUCACCAAUAGCCAAUGGGACAAGCAAUUCUACUCUGAGAUACAUGGAGCUGAUACGUAAAUGUAUCUAUUAUAGAUAUAACACUAUUUGUUUUGCUAUCUUGGA